This 462-nucleotide ribosomal RNA is filed under the name uncultured Klebsiella sp. Its description in RNAcentral is "bacterial SSU rRNA". It matches the Rfam family "Bacterial small subunit ribosomal RNA", at positions 338 to 795 of the family's 1533-position model. Lineage: Bacteria; Pseudomonadati; Pseudomonadota; Gammaproteobacteria; Enterobacterales; Enterobacteriaceae. The record is from RNAcentral.
CCUACGGGCGGCAGCGGGGAAUAUUGCACAAUGGGCGCAAGCCUGAUGCAGCCAUGCCGCGUGUGUGAAGAAGGCCUUCGGGUUGUAAAGCACUUUCAGCGGGGAGGAAGGCGGUGAGGUUAAUAACCUCAUCGAUUGACGUUACCCGCAGAAGAAGCACCGGCUAACUCCGUGCCAGCAGCCGCGGUAAUACGGAGGGUGCAAGCGUGAAUCGGAAUUACUGGGCGUAAAGCGCACGCAGGCGGUCUGUCAAGUCGGAUGUGAAAUCCCCGGGCUCAACCUGGGAACUGCAUUCGAAACUGGCAGGCUAGAGUCUUGUAGAGGGGGGUAGAAUUCCAGGUGUAGCGGUGAAAUGCGUAGAGAUCUGGAGGAAUACCGGUGGCGAAGGCGGCCCCCUGGACAAAGACUGACGCUCAGAUGCGAAAGCGUGGGGAGCAAACAGGAUUAGAUACCCCAGUAGUC